This 65-nucleotide transfer RNA is filed under the name Ctenisodes sp. 1 EF-2015. RNAcentral describes it as "tRNA-Leu". Lineage: Eukaryota; Metazoa; Arthropoda; Insecta; Coleoptera; Staphylinidae. The record is from RNAcentral.
UCUAAUAUGGCAGAUUAGUGCAUUGAAUUUAAACCUCAAUUAUAAGAAAUUUAUCUUUUUUAGAA